AACGCACCUUGCGCUCCUUGGUAUUCCGAGGAGCAUGCCUGUUUGAGUGUCAUUAAAUUCUCAACCUCACCCGUUUUCUGAACGGGGUCGAGGCUUGGAUGUGGGGGUUUGUGCAGGCUGCCUUCACUGGCGGUCUGCUCCCCUGAAAUGCAUUAGCGAGGUUCAUGCUGAACUUCCGUCUAUUGGUGUGAUAAUUAUCUACGCCGUGGACGAGGAUCAGACUCGCUUCUAACCGUCCGCGAGGACAAUACCUUGACAAUUUGACCUCAAAUCAGGUAGGACUACCCGCUGAACUUAA
Molecule: unclassified non-coding RNA, 298 nt
Filed under: uncultured fungus
Lineage: Eukaryota; Fungi
Also listed under: 1 other name
Description: partial contains 5.8S ribosomal RNA, internal transcribed spacer 2, and large subunit ribosomal RNA
Rfam family: 5.8S ribosomal RNA (bases 1-52)
Source: RNAcentral